This 458-nucleotide ribosomal RNA is filed under the name uncultured bacterium. Its description in RNAcentral is "partial 16S ribosomal RNA". It matches the Rfam family "Bacterial small subunit ribosomal RNA", at positions 338 to 795 of the family's 1533-position model. The record is from RNAcentral.
CCUACGGGCGGCAGUAGUGGGGAAUAUUGCACAAUGGGGGAAACCCUGAUGCAGCGACGCCGCGUGAGUGAAGAAGUAUUUCGGUAUGUAAAGCUCUAUCAGCAGGGAAGAAAUAGCGACCUUUGGGUCGCCAGACGGUACCUGAUUAACAAGCCCCGGCUAACUACGUGCAAGCAGCCGCGGUAAUACGUAGGGGGCAAGAGUUAUCCGGAUUUACUGGGUGUAAAGGGAGCGUAGACGGCAGCGCAAGUCUGAAGUGAAAUGCCGGGGCUUAACCCCGGAACUGCUUUGGAAACUGGGCAGCUAGAGUGCAGGAGAGGUAAGUGGAAUUCCUAGUGUAGCGGUGAAAUGCGUAGAUAUUAGGAGGAACACCAGUGGCGAAGGCGGCUUACUGGACUGUAACUGACGUUGAGGCUCGAAAGCGUGGGGAGCAAACAGGAUUAGAUACCCUUGUAGUC